Molecule: ribosomal RNA, 253 nt
Filed under: uncultured bacterium
Lineage: Bacteria
Description: partial 16S ribosomal RNA
Rfam family: Bacterial small subunit ribosomal RNA
Source: RNAcentral
UACGUAGGGUGCGAGCGUUAAUCGGAAUUACUGGGCGUAAAGUGUGCGCAGGUGGCCGCGCAAGUCGAGUGUGAAAUCCCCGGGCUUAACUUGGGAAUUGCGCUCGAAACUACUUGGCUCGAGUGUGGCAGAGGAAGGUGGAAUUCCAGGUGUAGCGGUGAAAUGCGUAGAGAUCUGGAGGAACACCGAUGGCGAAGGCAGCCUUCUGGGCCAACACUGACGCUCAUGCACGAAAGCGUGGGGAGCAAACAGG